This 1958-nucleotide ribosomal RNA is filed under the name human metagenome. RNAcentral's name for it is "bacterial LSU rRNA". It matches the Rfam family "Bacterial large subunit ribosomal RNA", at positions 505 to 2320 of the family's 2925-position model. The record is from RNAcentral.
GAGGGAAUGGUGAAAAGUACCCCGGGAGGGGAGUGAAAUAGUACCUGAAACCGGUCGCAUACAAUCCGUCGGGGCCUCGAACUUUUUUGUUUGGGGUGACGGCGUGCCUUUUGAAGAAUGAGCCUGCGAGUCAGUGGUGCGUGGCGAGGUUAACCCGUGUGGGGUAGUCGUAGCGAAAGCGAGUCCUAAUAGGGCGUUUUUAGUCGCGUGCUCUGGACCCGAAGCGGGGUGAUCUAUCCAUGGCCAGGGUGAAGCGAAGGUAAGACUUCGUGGAGGCCCGAACUCACUUGGGUUGAAAACCGAGGAGAUGAGCUGUGGAUAGGGGUGAAAGGCCAAUCAAACCCCGUGAUAGCUGGUUCUCCCCGAAAUGCAUUUAGGUGCAGCGUUGCGUGUUUCUUGCCGGAGGUAGAGCACUGGAUGGUCUAGGGGGCCCACAAGCUUACCGAAAUCAGCCAAACUCCGAAUGCCGGUAAGUUAGAGCGUGGCAGUGAGACUGUGGGGGAUAAGCUUCAUAGUCGAGAGGGAAACAGCCCAGAUCAUCAGCUAAGGCCCCUAAGAGGUGACUAAGUGGAAAAGGAUGUGGAGUUGCGUUGACAACCAGGAGGUUGGCUUGGAAGCAGCCAUCCUUGAAAGAGUGCGUAAUAGCUCACUGGUCAAGUGAUUCUGCGCCGACAAUUCAGCGGGGCUCAAGUUAUCCGCCGAAGCUGUGGCAUUCACAUGUGUGACCGGAAGGUUGUGUGGAUGGGUAGGGGAGCGUCGUGUGCGUGUUGAAGCGGUGGGGUGACCUGGUCGUGGAGUGCAUACGAGUGAGAAUGCAGGCAUGAGUAGCGAAUGACGGGUGAGAAACCCGUCCGCCGAAUAUCCAAGGGUUCCAGGGUCAAGUUAAUCUGCCCUGGGUUAGUCGGGACCUAAGGCGAGGCCGACAGGCGUAGUCGAUGGACAACGGGUUGAUAUUCCCGUACCGGCGAAACAACGUCCGUGCUGGGGCACGCGAUGCUAAGCAUGCGAGACUGUCUGCUGCCUUUCGGGGUGGUGGGUGGUUGAGUCUGUGAUCCGAGUGUGUAGUAGGCAAGCCGCGGAGGGACGCAGGAAGGUAGCUCAUCCUCAGCGUUGGUUGUCUGAGGCUAAGUGUGUAGGGUGGGGUGUAGGUAAAUCCGCAUUCCGUGAUGCCUGAGACACGAUGGGCCUGCACCGUUUGGGUGUGGGUUGAGUGAUCCUAUGCUGCCUAGAAAAGCUUCGUUGGCGAGUUGUUAGCCGCCCGUACCCUAAACCGACACAGGUGGAUAGGUAGAGAAUACCGAGGCGAUCGGGAUAAUCGUGGUGAAGGAACUCGGCAAAAUACCCCCGUAACUUCGGGAUAAGGGGGACCUGAUACGUGACCAGCCUUGCGUUGUGAGCGUUGAGGGUCGCAGAGACCAGGCCCAAGCGACUGUUUACUAAAAACACAGGUCCGUGCCAACUCGUAAGAGGAUGUAUACGGACUGACUCCUGCCCGGUGCUGGAAGGUUAAGGGGAACUGUCAGCCGCAUUUUGUGUGGUGAAGCGGUGAACUUAAGCCCCAGUAAACGGCGGUGGUAACUAUAACCAUCCUAAGGUAGCGAAAUUCCUUGUCGGGUAAGUUCCGACCUGCACGAAUGGAGUAACGAUUUGGGCGCUGUCUCCACCACGAACCCGGUGAAAUUGCAUUACGAGUAAAGAUGCUCGUUACGCGCAGCAGGACGGAAAGACCCCGGGACCUUUACUACAGUUUGGUAUUGGUGAUCGGUGUGACUUGUGUAGGAUAGGUGGGAGACUUUGAAACCGGGACGCCAGUUCCGGUGGAGUCGUCGUUGAAAUACCACUCUGGUCAUUCUGGUUAUCUAACCUAGGACCGUUAUCCGGUUCAGGGACAGUGCCUGAUGGGUAGUUUGACUGGGGCGGUCGCCUCCUAAAAGGUAACGGAGGCGCCCAAAGGUUCC